This 494-nucleotide ribosomal RNA is filed under the name uncultured bacterium. Its description in RNAcentral is "partial 16S ribosomal RNA". It matches the Rfam family "Bacterial small subunit ribosomal RNA", at positions 28 to 507 of the family's 1533-position model. The record is from RNAcentral.
GACGAACGCUGGCGGCGUGCUUAACACAUGCAAGUCGAACGGUGAAGCGCCUUCCUUUUUGGUGGGUGUGGAUGAGUGGCGAACGGGUGAGUAACACGUGAGUAACCUGCCCCCUUCUUCUGGAUAACCGCAUGAAAGUGUGGCUAAUACGGGAUAUUCUGGGUCUGUCGCAUGAUGGUUCUGGGAAGGAUAUUGUUUCGGUGGGGGAUGGGCUCGCGGCCUAUCAGCUUGUUGGUGGGGUGAUGGCCUACCAAGGCGGUGACGGGUAGCCGGCCUGAGAGGGUGGACGGUCACACUGGGACUGAGACACGGCCCAGACUCCUACGGGAGGCAGCAGUGGGGAAUAUUGCACAAUGGGCGCAAGCCUGAUGCAGCGACGCCGCGUGAGGGAUGGAGGCCUGCGGGUUGUGAACCUCUUUCGCCAGUGAAGCAGGCCUGCCUCGUUUGUGGGUGGGUUGACGGUAGCUGGAGAAGAAGCGCCGGCUAACUACGUG